Molecule: non-coding RNA, 119 nt
Organism: Picea glauca (white spruce)
Lineage: Eukaryota; Viridiplantae; Streptophyta; Pinopsida; Pinales; Pinaceae
Source: Rfam
AGUGUAAUUCAUACAACAUUAAUGCACUAGAUCCCAUUAUAAAUCCAUAGUUAAGCUUGCUUUGGAUAGAUUAGUACUGGGUUGGGUGACCUCCUGGGAAGUCCUGGUGUUUUACAUGC